Molecule: long non-coding RNA, 185 nt
Organism: Salvia splendens (bonfire salvia)
Lineage: Eukaryota; Viridiplantae; Streptophyta; Magnoliopsida; Lamiales; Lamiaceae
Exons: 3
Source: RefSeq, a predicted model, not a curated record
CAACACAACAACUCAAAAUAUGGCAAAGUCUGUUGGACUCGAGGUUCUUGCAUUGCUGGUAAAAGCUUGGAAUAGAUUCAAGACAGGUACUGGCUGCAGUCAUUACGGCAGGUGCUUCUAGAGAGCAUGAAAUCCUAGCUGAAAUAAGAGAUGCUGUUUUUUCUUUCAUUCGUAAAAUGGAGCCC